CGUGCCUAUUGAAGAAUGAGCCAACGAGUUUAUGUAUGCUGCUUAGCUAAAGUUUUAAAAGACUGGAGCUGCAGGGAACCAAGUGUUAAUAGCGCGUAAUUGGUAGUAUACAUAAGACCCGAAGCCAGGUGAGCUACCCAUGAGCAGGGUGAAGGUGUGAGAAAUCACACUGGAGGCCCGAACCGGUGAGCCGUUUAACACUCUCGGAUGACUUGUGGGUUGGAGUGAAAAGCUAAUCGAACCUGGUAAUAGCUGGUUCUCUCCGAAAUAGCUUUAGGGCUAGCGUUGUGCGUUCCUCUUGGGGGUAGAGCACUGGAAGAUUUCGACAGGGAGCAAUCUCGCGACAUCUAUCAAACUCCGAAUACCAAGAGUUAAAAGCGCAGCAGUUAGACUACGGGGGCGAAGCUCCGUCAGUCAAAAGGGAAACAGCCCAGAUCUCUAAAUAAGGUCCCUAAAUCAAUGCUAAGUGCAAACCAAGGAUGUGGAAUUUCUUCGACAAUGAGGAUGUUGGCUUAGAAGCA
Molecule: ribosomal RNA, 521 nt
Filed under: uncultured bacterium
Lineage: Bacteria
Description: bacterial LSU rRNA
Rfam family: Bacterial large subunit ribosomal RNA
Source: RNAcentral